RNAcentral lists this ribosomal RNA (1343 nucleotides) under uncultured bacterium. Its description in RNAcentral is "16S ribosomal RNA". It matches the Rfam family "Bacterial small subunit ribosomal RNA", at positions 28 to 1378 of the family's 1533-position model. The record is from RNAcentral.
GACGAACGCUGGCGGCGUGCUUAACACAUGCAAGUCGAACGGAAAGGCCCUGCUUUUGUGGGGUGCUCGAGUGGCGAACGGGUGAGUAACACGUGAGUAACCUGCCCUUGACUUUGGGAUAACUUCAGGAAACUGGGGCUAAUACCGGAUAGGAGCUCCUGCUGCAUGGUGGGGGUUGGAAAGUUUCGGCGGUUGGGGAUGGACUCGCGGCUUAUCAGCUUGUUGGUGGGGUAGUGGCUUACCAAGGCUUUGACGGGUAGCCGGCCUGAGAGGGUGACCGGCCACAUUGGGACUGAGAUACGGCCCAGACUCCUACGGGAGGCAGCAGUGGGGAAUAUUGCACAAUGGGCGGAAGCCUGAUGCAGCAACGCCGCGUGCGGGAUGACGGCCUUCGGGUUGUAAACCGCUUUCGCCUGUGACGAAGCGUGAGUGACGGUAAUGGGUAAAGAAGCACCGGCUAACUACGUGCCAGCAGCCGCGGUGAUACGUAGGGUGCGAGCGUUGUCCGGAUUUAUUGGGCGUAAAGGGCUCGUAGGUGGUUGAUCGCGUCGGAAGUGUAAUCUUGGGGCUUAACCCUGAGCGUGCUUUCGAUACGGGUUGACUUGAGGAAGGUAGGGGAGAAUGGAAUUCCUGGUGGAGCGGUGGAAUGCGCAGAUAUCAGGAGGAACACCAGUGGCGAAGGCGGUUCUCUGGGCCUUUCCUGACGCUGAGGAGCGAAAGCGUGGGGAGCGAACAGGCUUAGAUACCCUGGUAGUCCACGCUGUAAACGGUGGGUACUAGGUGUGGGGUCCAUUCCACGGGUUCCGUGCCGUAGCUAACGCUUUAAGUACCCCGCCUGGGGAGUACGGCCGCAAGGCUAAAACUCAAAGGAAUUGACGGGGCCCCGCACAAGCGGCGGAGCAUGCGGAUUAAUUCGAUGCAACGCGUAGAACCUUACCUGGGUUUGACAUGGAUCGGGAGUGCUCAGAGAUGGGUGUGCCUCUUUUGGGGUCGGUUCACAGGUGGUGCAUGGCUGUCGUCAGCUCGUGUCGUGAGAUGUUGGGUUAAGUCCCGCAACGAGCGCAACCCUUGUUCACUGUUGCCAGCACGUUAUGGUGGGGACUCAGUGGAGACCGCCGGGGUCAACUCGGAGGAAGGUGGAGAUGACGUCAAGUCAUCAUGCCCCUUAUGUCCAGGGCUUCACGCAUGCUACAAUGGCUGGUACAGAGAGUGGCGAGCCUGUGAGGGUGAGCGAAUCUCGGAAAGCCGGUCUCAGUUCGGAUUGGGGUCUGCAACUCGACCUCAUGAAGUCGGAGUCGCUAGUAAUCGCAGAUCAGCAACGCUGCGGUGAAUACGUUCCCGGG